This 19-nucleotide microRNA is filed under the name Gallus gallus (chicken). Its description in RNAcentral is "gga-miR-182-3p". Its record names the gene gga-miR-182-3p. The record is from miRBase by way of RNAcentral. Lineage: Eukaryota; Metazoa; Chordata; Aves; Galliformes; Phasianidae.
UGGUUCUAGACUUGCCAAC